AAAUGAGUAAAAGGAGCGUCACCUCAGGCGCAGACCCCGCCCCCCCGGAACCCGACCCCGCCCUCCGCCCCAGACCCCGCCCUGCAACGCGCACCGCCCAGCGGGAGACGCGCUACGGCUUGUUUUAUUGUCGACAGCGGCGAAAGGAAGUUUGUUUGUUAAAGACAAGUGUAAUACAUAUAUUUUACAUUUACUUAAUUUAUGAUGACGCAAUUUAUUUCUAAUAUGCGCAAACCUUAUAUAAAAACCAUAUACACCAUACACUCGUAUACAUGGCGACUAUAUAUUGACGCGCUAGUCGAUUAGAAAAAUACCGUCUAGACGCUGCAGAUUGUGGUCAUUUCUUUGUGUUCUCGGCUAAAUAUCGACUCCAGAAACACCAGCGCCGCGUGUGUUAGCGGCCAUUUCGCUCACCUGUACUGUGUGUUGACCGACCACACCUUGAUUUCAACACGAAACCAGACUGAGCCAGAUGAGUCAGAGCAGCCAGGAAGCGAUACGCUGUGUGGCUGUGGCACAGAACACACAAAGGACACAGAUACUGGAAUGUCCUGCAUUUAUCUGGUGGUAAAAGCGUUAAAGGACUUACAGUCAUAAACGCAGAGCCGAGUUGCGCAAUCAGCCAAAUCAGCAAACUGCUCAUGUUUUCUCCAUGUCCCCGUCAGUUCUGAAAAUGGUUUCGUAAUUAACAGUUCGGUGUGUAAAAAAAUAAACAAAUGCUAAAAA
This is a long non-coding RNA of Betta splendens (Siamese fighting fish), 726 nucleotides long. RefSeq lists it as uncharacterized. The record is from RefSeq and is a predicted model, not a curated record. The transcript is spliced from 2 exons. NCBI's taxonomy places the organism in Eukaryota, Metazoa, Chordata, Actinopteri, Anabantiformes, Osphronemidae.